ACGACUUAUAAUUCUUGGUCAACCUCUAAGCAACAAGCGGUGGAUGUUAAGCAUGGAAGGUCAAGUUGUUUGUGAAGGAACACAGCCCAGCUUUGUCUCUGGCCUUGCAGCGCUGUUUGCCACAUUCUACAAUUUCAACCUCCAGUAUCAGGAAGAAGCAGCGUGCACCCUUGAGUUUGUUCAAAGGCGCUUUAUAGACAUCAACCCUGAACGUGGCUCAAAAACCAAGAAAGGGAAAGUGACUUCCAAG
Molecule: long non-coding RNA, 250 nt
Organism: Xyrauchen texanus (razorback sucker)
Lineage: Eukaryota; Metazoa; Chordata; Actinopteri; Cypriniformes; Catostomidae
Exons: 3
Source: RefSeq, a predicted model, not a curated record